AUGUUAACUGAUGGACUGGAGUGCUGUGGAUUACUUGUGGAUUAUUGUGAUGUUUUUAUCAGCUGUUUGGACUCUCAUUCUGACGGCACCCAUUCACUGCAGAGCAUCCAUUGAUGAGACACUGAUGCAGUGCUACAUUUCUACAAACCUAAUAAGGAUCAAAUUCAUCUACAUCUGGGAUGACCUGAGAUAAAUGGUGAGGUGAAUGCCUGCGGUCACUGAGCAAUAACAGCUUCAGCAGAUUCUGAGCUCCUGAACCAAUUCCUCCACAUAAUGAUGAGAUUAGAGUGCUGUCGAUCUCUCCUGACAGAAGCAGUUAGACCCGCGAGCAUCUGACAGACACAACAGAAGCAUCAGGAUGCUUUACAGCUCCGCAUGUGAGAGUUUUGUCAAUUUAGUGAGUUUAAAAUGCAUUUCCAGACCCAGGCUGAGUGUGUUCAGGGACUGAAUGCAGGAAUAAUGUUAUUCUUCUCUUUCUGAGUUAUCUCGGUUUCUAUGUGAUAUGGCACACGGUGCAUACUGGGAUAUCAGGGAUGUGAUGAAAAAAGCGAGGAAAUGCGGCACACACACACACACACACACACACACACACACACACAGACAGAAGACUGGUUUGAUGUACUGUCCGCGGGCCCAGUGCAGGUGCUCACUGAUGAGUGGACUGUCGUGUUCAUUGAUACUUGAUCACACUAGGUGGUCCACAUUAAAUACAGCGCUGAGAGCCAAUCCUGACACAAGCCCUGCGGCACGGCUCCGCUGACCCGCUCAUUGAGCCCAGUGAUAGAUUCACACACACUCUCAGAUAAUAAGGAGCCGGUGGCCCUGUGAGCUCCAUCUCCUCUGAAUUCAUCAUGCGCUAGUCACAUUACAGGCCUUUACCAGCGGAAGGGUCUCCUUUAAUUGUGAAGCGACCCCCUCCUACGUAACAAAUCACCUGUCUGUGGAAGCAGUGUUUCUCAGACGCUCGGAGGAGGCCAGAGAGAGAGUAAUAAGGCCGUUUUUCUAAAGGAUGCUGUGACACAGGGGAAGACGUGUCAAGCCGUCCAGCAUGGCGUCAGUGGACGCUCCAGGUGAGCGAGGUGACACGUCAGAUAUUCCCCAGACAGGACUGAUGGUGUAAGAGCAGCAGCAGCGGAGAGAUGAGCUGAUAUGAGGAACAGUUGAGGCACAGGGCACUAGAUGGCAGUAUAAGUCCAGCGAGAGCGCUGCGUCUGCACAAAGAGUGAUGUAAUCCAGAAGAGGAGAAUGUAAAUUAUUAGAAAAAA
Molecule: long non-coding RNA, 1265 nt
Organism: Cyprinus carpio carpio
Lineage: Eukaryota; Metazoa; Chordata; Actinopteri; Cypriniformes; Cyprinidae
Source: Ensembl